GGGAAAAAAACUUUAAAUAAUAAUAAUUUUUUUAUGAAGUAAGGCUUCAGGUUUAUACGGUAAUCUUUUAAAUACUAUUAUUAAGCUAAGUAGCACUAUAUGUGUGUGAAAAAUCUAGCAUAGUAAAUUUUGGUUAAUUCACUCUUUAUUAUGUUUUUUCUUUUAAAUAACCUAAUCUAAUUGAAAACCAAACUUUUCUAAAAAUACGAAUCAAAUUGAAAAAUAAAAUAAAUUAAUUUAAUUUGAUUUUUCGAUUCAAAUUGAUUUUUGUUCACUCUUACUCCGCAAAAUCUAAGAAAAAUGAAGAUAAAUUAAAAUAAAACCAAUAUUGAAAUAAGAUCUUUACCUCUCUUUCUAUGGUAUGUGUUCUGGAAUAGAGUGGGGCCAAAGUUCAUAAUCCGGUUAGUUGAUUAGCAGAUUAAUAGAGUUGGUAUCCAUGAUAAUAAUCCAUUUAUUCAGGAUUUGAGGUUUAGGAGUGGACCUGAGAAAUGGAUUAGGUGGCCAAAACCUACAAUCUUACCUUCCAUUAUGGGAAAUCCAUUAAACUGAUCCUCUUAAAGCAUAACCAAGAACAAACCAAUUAAAACAAACUUGAAAGAGGUUCAUCUGUGCAUGAUGCUGUGUAGGAUAAUAUUCUGCGUUGCAGUUUCUAUAUCCAUACUGUUAGUAAUUCUCUUGUCAGUGUUUUCUCCAGCACCUCACAAGGCUUCAUCACAGGAUCCCUCCGGGCCUUGGGUGGCACUCUCACUGUACAUUCAGCAACCUGAUCACAUUUCAAGCUCCAACUUGCAGCCAGCACUACGCCCGGAUGCUGGAGCUUUUAUUUUCCAUCGCAUACUCACAGAAGGACCUGAGAACACUUCCAGGGUUAUUGGGAAAGCACAAGGUUUCAUUAUUCCAAUUGAACAUUUUGCACACUCUGCUUUCAAUAUUAUUCAUCUCUCAUUUGAUACACCUCACUACUCGGGCAGCCUGAAUUUGCAGGCCAAGCAUGUAGCACAUAAAGAUAGAGAAGAACUUACAGUGGUUGGUGGAACUGGUUCGUUCGCAUUUGCUCGUGGGCUUGCUGUUUUUGCUCAGACGGAUGGUCUUUCUGCAACUUACUACGUAAAUCUUCAGCUUAGAUUUCCAGAUCGAUCUGAGACAAUUCCAGGAUGAGGCUGAGUUUUUCUAGUCAGGUUUAUGAAUCCUCUUCCGCUGUCCAUACUUGCCAACUUUUUAUUCUUGAGAUUGCAACUCUAGUUCUGUCAGAUUGAGUGAGUCAAAUUCAGAUGAAAUUGAAUUUGUAAUUCCAGGAUGUGAUUAAUUUACCUUUUAGUCUGUACAAGAAAAUUUAAGCCAACUAUGUAAUUUAACUUCAAAUAUUAUUUAUGAUCUGUG
Molecule: unclassified non-coding RNA, 1380 nt
Filed under: Hevea brasiliensis (rubber tree)
Lineage: Eukaryota; Viridiplantae; Streptophyta; Magnoliopsida; Malpighiales; Euphorbiaceae
Source: RNAcentral